This 628-nucleotide ribosomal RNA is filed under the name Streptomyces spectabilis. Its description in RNAcentral is "bacterial SSU rRNA". It matches the Rfam family "Bacterial small subunit ribosomal RNA", at positions 189 to 832 of the family's 1533-position model. The record is from RNAcentral. Lineage: Bacteria; Bacillati; Actinomycetota; Actinomycetes; Kitasatosporales; Streptomycetaceae.
AUGAUCUUGUGUGGAAAGCUCCGGCGGUGCAGGAUGAGCCCGCGGCCUAUCAGCUAGUUGGUGAGGUAAUGGCUCACCAAGGCGACGACGGGUAGCCGGCCUGAGAGGGCGACCGGCCACACUGGGACUGAGACACGGCCCAGACUCCUACGGGAGGCAGCAGUGGGGAAUAUUGCACAAUGGGCGAAAGCCUGAUGCAGCGACGCCGCGUGAGGGAUGACGGCCUUCGGGUUGUAAACCUCUUUCAGCAGGGAAGAAGCGAAAGUGACGGUACCUGCAGAAGAAGCGCCGGCUAACUACGUGCCAGCAGCCGCGGUAAUACGUAGGGCGCGAGCGUUGUCCGGAAUUAUUGGGCGUAAAGAGCUCGUAGGCGGCUUGUCACGUCGGUUGUGAAAGCCCGGGGCUUAACCCCGGGUCUGCAGUCGAUACGGGCAGGCUAGAGUUCGGUAGGGGAGAUCGGAAUUCCUGGUGUAGCGGUGAAAUGCGCAGAUAUCAGGAGGAACACCGGUGGCGAAGGCGGAUCUCUGGGCCGAUACUGACGCUGAGGAGCGAAAGCGUGGGGAGCGAACAGGAUUAGAUACCCUGGUAGUCCACGCCGUAAACGGUGGGCACUAGGUGUGGGCGACAU